Molecule: ribosomal RNA, 466 nt
Filed under: Klebsiella pneumoniae
Lineage: Bacteria; Pseudomonadati; Pseudomonadota; Gammaproteobacteria; Enterobacterales; Enterobacteriaceae
Description: bacterial SSU rRNA
Rfam family: Bacterial small subunit ribosomal RNA
Source: RNAcentral
AAAUUGAAGAGUUUGAUCAUGGCUCAGAUUGAACGCUGGCGGCAGGCCUAACACAUGCAAGUCGAGCGGUAGCACAGAGAGCUUGCUCUCGGGUGACGAGCGGCGGACGGGUGAGUAAUGUCUGGGAAACUGCCUGAUGGAGGGGGAUAACUACUGGAAACGGUAGCUAAUACCGCAUAACGUCGCAAGACCAAAGUGGGGGACCUUCGGGCCUCAUGCCAUCAGAUGUGCCCAGAUGGGAUUAGCUAGUAGGUGGGGUAACGGCUCACCUAGGCGACGAUCCCUAGCUGGUCUGAGAGGAUGACCAGCCACACUGGAACUGAGACACGGUCCAGACUCCUACGGGAGGCAGCAGUGGGGAAUAUUGCACAAUGGGCGCAAGCCUGAUGCAGCCAUGCCGCGUGUGUGAAGAAGGCCUUCGGGUUGUAAAGCACUUUCAGCGGGGAGGAAGGCGUUAAGGUUAAUA